UACGUAGGUGGCGAGCGUUGUCCGGAUUUACUGGGCGUAAAGGGAGCGUAGGCGGACUUUUAAGUGAGAUGUGAAAUACCCAGGCUCAACUUGGGUGCUGCAUUUCAAACUGGAAGUCUAGAGUGCAGGAGAGGAGAAUGGAAUUCCUUGUGUAGCGGUGAAAUGCGUAGAGAUUAGGAAGAACACCAGUGGCGAAGGCGAUUCUCUGGACUGUAACUGACGCUGAGGCUCGAAAGCGUUGGGAGCAAACAGGAUUAGAUA
RNAcentral lists this ribosomal RNA (261 nucleotides) under uncultured prokaryote. Its description in RNAcentral is "partial 16S ribosomal RNA". It matches the Rfam family "Bacterial small subunit ribosomal RNA", at positions 524 to 784 of the family's 1533-position model. The record is from RNAcentral.